UUGAUUUGCCAUAUCACCCUGCAGCCCAAGACUGGUUGCCCACUGAAGCUAAGCAGGGUUGAGCCUGGUCAGUACCUGGAUGGGAGACCUCCUGGGGAAACUAGGUUGCUGCUGGAA
Molecule: ribosomal RNA, 117 nt
Filed under: Sinocyclocheilus rhinocerous
Lineage: Eukaryota; Metazoa; Chordata; Actinopteri; Cypriniformes; Cyprinidae
Source: RNAcentral